This 289-nucleotide ribosomal RNA is filed under the name uncultured Altererythrobacter sp. Its description in RNAcentral is "partial 16S ribosomal RNA". The record is from RNAcentral. Lineage: Bacteria; Pseudomonadati; Pseudomonadota; Alphaproteobacteria; Sphingomonadales; Erythrobacteraceae.
CUACCGGGGUAUCUAAUCCUGUUUGCUCCCCACGCUUUCGAACCUCAGCGUCAAUACCUGUCCAGCGAGUCGCCUUCGCCACUGGUGUUCUUCCGAAUAUCUACGAAUUUCACCUCUACACUCGGAAUUCCACUCGCCUCUCCAGGAUUCAAGCGAAGCAGUUUCAAAGGCAGUUCCAGAGUUGAGCUCUGGGAUUUCACCCCUGACUUGCUAAGCCGCCUACGUUCGCUUUACGCCCAGUAUUUCCGAACAACGCUAGCCCCCUCCGUAUUACCGCGGCUGCUGGCAC